UUCAGAGGGGGAUAACGUUUGGAAACGAACGCUAAUACCGCAUAACGUAUUGGGGUCGCAUGGCCCUGAUACCAAAGGAGCAGUCCGCUGAAAGAUGGGCUCGCGUCUGAUUAGAUAGUUGGCGGGGUAACGGCCCACCAAGUCGACGAUCAGUAGCCGGACUGAGAGGUUGAACGGCCACAUUGGGACUGAGACACGGCCCAGACUCCUACGGGAGGCAGCAGUGGGGGAUAUUGCACAAUGGGGGAAACCCUGAUGCAGCGACGCCGCGUGAGGGAAGACGGCCUUCGGGUUGUAAACCUCUGUCUUAGGGGACGAAGGAAGUGACGGUACCCUGAGAGGAAGCUCCGGCUAACUAC
This 359-nucleotide ribosomal RNA is filed under the name uncultured bacterium. Its description in RNAcentral is "bacterial SSU rRNA". It matches the Rfam family "Bacterial small subunit ribosomal RNA", at positions 132 to 504 of the family's 1533-position model. The record is from RNAcentral.